Molecule: ribosomal RNA, 440 nt
Filed under: uncultured bacterium
Lineage: Bacteria
Description: partial 16S ribosomal RNA
Rfam family: Bacterial small subunit ribosomal RNA
Source: RNAcentral
CCUACGGGAGGCAGCAGUAGGGAAUAUUGCUCAAUGGGGGAAACCCUGAAGCAGCAACGCCGCGUGGAGGAUGAAGGUUUUCGGAUUGUAAACUCCUUUUGUCAGAGAAGAUAAUGACGGUAUCUAACGAAUAAGCACCGGCUAACUCCGUGCCAGCAGCCGCGGUAAUACGGAGGGUGCAAGCGUUACUCGGAAUCACUGGGCGUAAAGAGCGUGUAGGCGGGAUAGCAAGUCAGAUGUGAAAUCCUAUGGCUUAACCAUAGAACUGCAUUUGAAACUGUUAUUCUAGAGUAUGGGAGAGGUAGGUGGAAUUCUUGGUGUAGGGGUAAAAUCCGUAGAGAUCAAGAGGAAUACUCGUGGCGAAGGCGACCUGCUGGAACAUAACUGACGCUGAUGCGCGAAAGCGUGGGGAGCAAACAGGAUUAGAUACCCGGGUAGUC